AGUGUAAUUAUAAAUGUAAUUCCAUAAAUUAAUUACAGAUGUAAUUGCAAGUCGGUAUUUUUAAAAUAUAAGUACAAUGUAAAAACAUUUUUCCCAAGUAAAUAAGUAAACCGUCUUUGUGUAUCUAUAGUGUUUGCCCAUAACUGUAGAAGAUCAUGACAGUCUGCACUCCUAAAAAUAAACUUUAUUUAUUAGCAUUGAUGAUUCCAGUAACAUCCAUAGAACCUUUAUAUUACACAAAAGGUUCUUGACAGCUGCAGUUCUUUAAAUUGUUUUUGCACUGGUAAAAUGGUUAUUUUAAGAACAUUUCACUGAAAGGCUCUUUGGGGAACCUUAAAGUGUUCUUCAAUGCAUCACUGCAAUAACCCCAUUUUGGUACCUUUAUUUUAAGAGUGUAGCUUGAGUUAUGCAUUCUUGCUAAAAUAUUUUGGGUUACGCAUGUAACCAUUUUUCCCCGAGAGGGAACGAGACCCUGCGUCCUCAUAGUGUCCGCUAGAGGAUGCAGCAUGAGUUCCCUAGAAGGGGAACAUCUUGGGUUACGCAUGUUACCAUGUUUCCCCGAGAGGCAAGGAGAUUGUGCGUCCUCAUAGUGUUCCCUAGAGGAUGCAGCAUGAGUUCCCUAGAAGGGGAACAUCUUGGGUUACGCAUGUUACCAUGGUUCCCUGAGAGGGAACGAGACACUGCAUCCUCUAACGUACACUAUGAGGAUGCAGUGCGAGUUCCCUGGAAGGGGAACUCUUGUUAUAAUGAACAAAUCUGUCUACAGGGCAUAAUGUACCUCUUUUUGCAUAAUAUCUGUGCUUUGUUGCUUAUGAUGACAGAAUUCACAGUAGUGCAUUCAGUCAGUGAAUGUGCACACUCAACAAAACUAAUUUUCAACACUAAUCUAAGUGGUUUUGAUUGGUCAUUCGUGCACUCAUAAACAUCUGUGACUGGCCAUAAUAUUGCAGAAAAACAACAUGUAAAACAAAAUCUUUUAUGCAACACAAGUGGAACUAAAUGUAAUGCCAAAAUCAACACUUUCCAUGUCAUUUCGCAUUUCACUUUAAUCACAGCAAUCAUAAGAUUUAGUGUAAUUCUGCAGAGACAUUUUUUUUUGCCACGUUUGUUAAAUCUGUGGGGUGUUUUUUGUUCAUUUUGGUGGAAUUUUUGCCCCAAGCCCCCAUUAAUUUCCAACCCUGCAUUGUAUUUAUUACAUGAUAAUUAAUGUAACAGAUCUGGUAAACUUCUAUUAUAAAUGUGAAUCUUUUUCUAAAAUAACUCAGCAUGUACAGUGGUGUUCAGAAAUAUUUUUUUAUGUAUUCUUUGUAUUCUGUGAUCUCCUCUUCACAAUCUUCAUGAUGAACUAAUAUAAUACAGUGAUCCCUGUUUUUCCACAGCUUCCUGGUUUUAGACAGCGUGCUGCCCCAUCUCAGCCCGAGGCCGUCACCCCUAGCCAACCUCAGGUGGAAGUGGUGGUGUCAGAGGUGGAGCCAAUGCCUGAGCGUGAACCCGAACCCAAAUCUGAACCGAUAGAAGAAAUCCCCAGCCCUCCCACUGAACCUCAAGUGGCGCCCAUUGACUCUUUAACAGACGUUUGAUGCUUUGUGCUCAUGUGAUCUGUAUGUAUAUUGUAGAGAUGAGUGAGAUUUAAGCAGCAAGGGUUUUUGUAUGAAAGUGAUGUAUAAAAUCAAUAUGAUAGGGCUUUGUAAAAUAGGCCAUUAUCAUCAUACUUAGAAAAGAUGGUUCAACCAAAAAUAGAAAUUAAUUUGCUCCCUCAUGUUGUUCCAAACCCCUGACUUUUGGUUACACAUUAUUUUCAGGUGUCCUUGUUACAGUGUAAUUAUACAUUUAAGUAAUGAGUAAUAUUCAUUAACCACAUGAACUUACUAUAGGGUUAGGAUUAGGGUUUGACAUAGGGUUAUUUGCAUGUUUUUAUGCAGAAUUUAUUGUUAUUAUAAUAGUAAGUACAUGUAAUGUGUAACAAGGACACCUUAAAAUAAAAUGUUACCUGACUUUCUUUGGUACAUUGAAAAUGGAUGGGGACCAAAGUUGUCAAGCUCCAAAAAGGACAAAAAAAUCCCCAUAAAAGCAAAAACAAGCGUGGUUCGUAUAACUUUCUUUUGAAGUCAUACAUUUAUGUCAUCCAUUAAAAAUAUUGCUUGACUACUGUGAUAACCCAUUCAUGUUAUAAAAAAGAGCAAUUUAGACAUCCUAUUAUCCUACUAUUAUUUUAUCCUUUUGCAUUCGACAUCUUUAAAGAAAUAUUUUUAAAAGCUAUGGGUUUCAAAAGACAUGAGAGUAAAUUUUUAAUUUUGAGGUGAACUAUUGCUUUAACAUUGUAUUACCUGCAGAGUUUCUUCUUGUCUGACAGCUGAAGACUUACAGUGCUUGCAAAGCAGCACACAGAUAUUCUUUAAAUAUUCAAGGU
Cyprinus carpio (common carp) is the source of this 2410-nucleotide long non-coding RNA. RefSeq lists it as uncharacterized. The transcript is spliced from 2 exons. Lineage: Eukaryota; Metazoa; Chordata; Actinopteri; Cypriniformes; Cyprinidae. The record is from RefSeq and is a predicted model, not a curated record.